UGAAAAGACACGGAACAGUUGUUUGUAGAUCCGACCGAGGUGAUCCAGCCAAAUACACCUAGUCCAGGAGGAGGAGAGGGCAACAGAAGAGGAAGACGACCUACAACGUGGAGGAGAGGACCUGCAGUACAGUUGCAGUGAGCCGACAGGGAGCAUGGACCAAAUGGGAAAAUGCCAUGGAGUGGUAGUUGACUUGGACAGAGCUUUGGAAGGCUAGGCCCAACUGUAUCAAGUUCCUUUCCCCGGCUGUUUAUGAUGUGUUUCCCAGUCCAUCAAACCUUCACAUAUGUGGCAAGGCAGAGACACACCAGCCUGCCCACUUUUCUCAAAUUGUGGAACCUCUGACCACAUACUAUGCUGCUGCACUAAAGCAGUGGGAGAAGGGUGGUACUGGUGGAGGCCUGACCAGGUCUUGAAUACCAUUGCAGAAUCCAUUAGCACUAGAUUCAACAGGCAAAGAAGAUCUACAAACACUUUAUGACCCAAUGUGGUUCUCAUGUCUGAGUCCAUGAAGCAAGUUGUGCUCCUGGAAUUGACAGUACUGUGUGAAGACUACCUGGAGGAAGCAUUUGAAAGAAAGUUCACCAAGCAUAAUGAUCUAGUUAGUCAAUGUCAGCAAGGUGGCUGGAGAGCCGACCAGUAUAGGUUGGUUGCAGGGUCUUUGCAACCUGAUCUCUAUUCAGAACCCUAUAUGUGCUGGGUAUUGAAAGAGAGAGGAGAAGACGAGCCUCCUGUAGUGGAACACCUAUAACACCCGAUGAGUCCAGUAACAUCAGUAAGAUAUAUGUGUGCUGCAAGGGAAACAAACCCAUGCUCUUGGUGUUGUUUGGAACCUUGUUCCACUGGCUCUACUACAUGAUCUACUACAUGAUCAUGGCCAGCAGAAGGACGUGUUUGAGCAUUGCCAGUACCCUGAGGUGACAAGCUAAAAUGUGCACAAAGAACUUCAAUAUGUCCAUAUGUGCAUGCUGCAUAAUGGAAUCAAUGAACAAAAUGUUGAGGAAAUUCUAAUGACAAAUUUAUUCAGGUUAAGAUCAAAGCUGUCUUUUAUGGUUUGAUGAAAGAAUAUCAGCCAAACAGUAAUUUAUUGUGUGGACCAGAGUAAAAAGGGUUGUUAGCUGAGAUAAAGGAAUGUCUUUGAUAAUGAUGUUAAUAAGGACAUGAUUGAUCUGUGUGCUUAUGUUUCUUAUUCAGCAGUGGACAGGAUUAAGUUCUAUCCUGCUUACCACAGGCGAAGUUUGUUGACCACAGCUUAAAAUCAUUUAAAGAAGAGUGUUUUGCAUUGCCUGCCCUUCUGUUAUGUAUUUCUUUUUUGAAACAAACAUUUCCAGGUCAAAAAGCUUCUUUUUCUAACAUUUAUUUGUAAAAAAAAAAAAAAGAAUGCAAAAAAGAAACCUGACAGUUUUCAAAAUUAUAACGCUUGUUUCAUUUCAA
This is a non-coding RNA of Electrophorus electricus (electric eel), 1434 nucleotides long. The record is from RefSeq and is a predicted model, not a curated record. Lineage: Eukaryota; Metazoa; Chordata; Actinopteri; Gymnotiformes; Gymnotidae.